CUUGAUCGAGCCGAGCCACAGUGGACGGUGCUCCGGCCGGCCGCGCCCAUAUGUCGCGAGCAACGCCUGCGCCUC
This 75-nucleotide antisense RNA is filed under the name Nocardia sp. NRRL S-836. RNAcentral describes it as "ASpks TB sRNA". It matches the Rfam family "ASpks TB sRNA". Lineage: Bacteria; Bacillati; Actinomycetota; Actinomycetes; Mycobacteriales; Nocardiaceae. The record is from Rfam by way of RNAcentral.